This 470-nucleotide long non-coding RNA is filed under the name Homo sapiens (human). RNAcentral describes it as "HSALNT0135380". Lineage: Eukaryota; Metazoa; Chordata; Mammalia; Primates; Hominidae. The record is from RNAcentral.
GUUUAGUCUGAACUUAGCAUCAGCUGCUCAGGUUCCUUUCUUCUCAGCAUGCCGUGGCUGGCCUCAUCCUGUAGUCUUUCAAACCUAAUUAGUGUUAGGGCCUUUCCUCGCUGGCUCCCUCCCAUCCCCAGCAGCCCUUCAUUCUUCUCACUGCCUCCUUUCCUUCUCACUGUUCAGAGCGCCCUGUGCAUGCAAAUCAAGGAACUGACUUGAGAUGACUUUCAGAGCUCUGUCUCUUGUGUUUCUUUGGCCUGGAAGAAACAACGCCUAAGUUUUGAGCUGCAUGAAGCUGCCUGACAUCUAAGGAUCUCUGAAGAGAACUGGGACCUGAAACCCAUCUGAAAUGUAUCUGCAGACAGGUCAAGUUCAUCGAGAGUCACCUCCUGCCUGACACUCCAGUCAUUAAUUCCAGAUCUCCAGAUCAGCCUGAAGAUCAACAGGAUGAUGAGUCCACUGAAGAAGGUCACAAA